This 510-nucleotide ribosomal RNA is filed under the name uncultured bacterium. Its description in RNAcentral is "partial 16S ribosomal RNA". It matches the Rfam family "Bacterial small subunit ribosomal RNA", at positions 28 to 507 of the family's 1533-position model. The record is from RNAcentral.
GACGAACGCUGGCGGCGUGCUUAACACAUGCAAGUCGAACGAAGAGCGGUGGAAGCUUGCUUCUAUCAAUCUUAGUGGCGAACGGGUGAGUAACGCGUAAUCAACCUGCCCUUCAGAGGGGGACAACAGUUGGAAACGACUGCUAAUACCGCAUACGAUCUAAUCUCGGCAUCGAGGAUAGAUGAAAGGUGGCCUCUACAUGUAAGCUAUCACUGAAGGCGGGGAUUGCGUCUGAUUAGCUAGUUGGAGGGGUAACGGCCCACCAAGGCGAUGAUCAGUAGCCGGUCUGAGAGGAUGAACGGCCACAUUGGGACUGAGACACGGCCCAGACUCCUACGGGAGGCAGCAGUGGGGAAGCUUCCGCAAUGGACGAAAGUCUGACGGAGCAACGCCGCGUGAGGGAUGACGGCCUUCGGGUUGUAAAGCUCGGUUAAUCGGGACGAAAGGCCUUCUUGCGAAUAGUGAGAAGGAUUGACGGUACCGGAAUAGAAAGCCACGGCUAACUACGUG